RNAcentral lists this ribosomal RNA (756 nucleotides) under Triticum aestivum (bread wheat). Its description in RNAcentral is "partial small subunit ribosomal RNA". The record is from RNAcentral. Lineage: Eukaryota; Viridiplantae; Streptophyta; Magnoliopsida; Poales; Poaceae.
AUGACUGAUGGUGGUUCACAUUUUAUUCAUGGUGCUUUUCAUAAAAUGCUUGCUAAGUAUGACGUUAAUCAUAGAAUUGCAUCUCCGUACCACCCACAGUCUAGUGGUCAAGUAAAACUGAGUAAUAGAGAGCUUAAAUUAAUUUUGCAAAAGACUGUUAAUAGAUCUAGAAAGAAUUGGUCCAAGAAACUUGAUGAUGCAUUAUGGGCCUAUAGAACUACAUAUAAAAAUCCUAUGGGUAUGUCCUCGUAUAAAAUGGUUUAUGGAAAAGCAUGUCACUUACCUCUCGAACUAGAACAUAAGGCAUAUUGGGCCAUUAAAGAGCUCAAUUAUGAUUUCAAACUUGCCGGUGAAAAGAGGAUAUUUGACAUUAGCUCACUUGAUGAAUGGAGAACCCAAGCCUACGAGAAUGCUAAACUGUUUAAAGAAAAAGUUAAAAGAUGGCAUGACAAAAGGAUACAAAAGUGUGAGUUUAAUUUAGGUGAUUAUGUUUUGCUAUACAACUCUCAUUUAAGAAUUUUUGCAGGAAAACUUCUCUCUAAAUGGGAAGGCCCUUACGUUAUCGAGGAGGUCUAUCAUUCCGGUGCCAUAAAAUUCAACAAUUUCGAAGGCACAAAUCCGAAGGUGGUGAAUGGUCAAAGAAUCAAACAUUAUAUCUCAGGUUUACAUGAAGAGGGGAAUGCCGGCAGCUGGAAUUCUGGGCUGGAAAAGGAGCAAAUAUUAGAGACCUAUUAUGCACAACUCCAAAAGUCCUAA